Molecule: ribosomal RNA, 253 nt
Filed under: uncultured bacterium
Lineage: Bacteria
Description: partial 16S ribosomal RNA
Rfam family: Bacterial small subunit ribosomal RNA
Source: RNAcentral
UACAGAGGGAGCAAGCGUUGUUCGGAAUUACUGGGCGUAAAGCGUGCGCAGGCGGUGAUGUAAGACAGAUGUGAAAUCCCCGGGCUCAACCUGGGAACUGCAUUUGUGACUGCAUCGCUGGAGUGCGGCAGAGGGGGAUGGAAUUCCGCGUGUAGCAGUGAAAUGCGUAGAUAUGCGGAGGAACACCGAUGGCGAAGGCAAUCCCCUGGGCCUGCACUGACGCUCAUGCACGAAAGCGUGGGGAGCAAACAGG